Molecule: ribosomal RNA, 650 nt
Filed under: Salacia erythrocarpa
Lineage: Eukaryota; Viridiplantae; Streptophyta; Magnoliopsida; Celastrales; Celastraceae
Description: eukaryotic LSU rRNA
Rfam family: 5.8S ribosomal RNA (bases 279-434)
Source: RNAcentral
GGUGAACCUGCGGAAGGAUCAUUGUCGAAACCUGCAAGGCAGAACGACCCGUGGACCAGUUAUAGCUCCUCAUCGUCGAGCGGCGGGGCCUCCGUGCCCACCGCUCGUCGCCCCAGGGCUAGCGUMGUGGGCCGAGCCCGCGCACGCUAUCCAUGGGUGCAUAGAACAAACCCCGGCGCGGAUCGCGCCAAGGAACAAGGAAGAAUGAGAGACGUGCUCCCAUGGUCCCGGAUACGGUGCGCCACGGGGGCAGCGUCGUCGAUGUAAAUAUUCGAAACGACUCUCGGCAACGGAUAUCUCGGCUCUCGCAUCGAUGAAGAACGUAGCGAAAUGCGAUACUUGGUGUGAAUUGCAGAAUCCCGUGAACCAUCGAGUUUUUGAACGCAAGUUGCGCCCGAAGCCAUCUGGCCGAGGGCACGUCUGCCUGGGUGUCAAGAAACGUCGCCAAACGUCCCUCUUCGAGGGCGGGCGGAUAUUGGCCUCCCGUGCGCGAUUGCUCGCGGUUGGCCCAAAAGAGAGUACCCCGGCGAGGCAGCCACGACGUGCGGUGGUAGAAAGCGUAUGCUCUCCUCGAACACCGUCGUGGGUCGACCUCGUGGGGGCAGGAAAGGCUAAGGCCCCGAUGCGAAGUCGUGUUUCGCGAAGCGACC